Molecule: long non-coding RNA, 1011 nt
Organism: Leopardus geoffroyi (Geoffroy's cat)
Lineage: Eukaryota; Metazoa; Chordata; Mammalia; Carnivora; Felidae
Exons: 3
Source: RefSeq, a predicted model, not a curated record
AUCUCCUGUUCUGUGUACAGACCGCUUGGGAUGGCGACAUCAGACAUGUAAGAAAAAAAAGGUAAAGGCUUGCUACUCAAAGUAUGGGCCACACACCAGCAGCACUGGCAUCGCCUGGGACCCGGUUAGAAAUGGAGAAGCUCAAGCCCCACCCCAGACCUGCUGCAUCAGAACCUACAUUUCAGAGUCUCCACAGAAUCCAGGUGGUGUUGGGCAGUUUUACAUCCAGAGUUCUCCACAAUUCAGCCAGAUGCCUGGAAAUCCCAAAGAACAAGAGGGUUCAGGAGAAUGGCUUAUCCUAGGCCCACCAUGACCAUGACCUUCCUAAAAUCUGGAAUCCAAUCUGCAAGUGAUUUUCCUCUCUGCUCAGGUUUUCAGGCUAUCAAAAGACUUACUCUCUGAUUUCAUAACAGUAAGUCCCAAGGUUUUAUAAUCUCAAAUUACCAUGCCUCAGCAUGGACUUCAAGACAAACUGGUCCUAAUUGAUCUUUUCAGAUCCCUGUCACAUAUCUGCGCUCUAGCUACCCCAGACCAUUCAUCUUUACCAAACAAUGGACUUUGACAACUCUACACUUCUGCUUAUUGCCUGUCCUUAAACUGGAAGGCCCUUUCCCAAAUGCUUCCCUGCCUGACAAAAUCCUUCAAGGUCCAGCUCCAAUGUCAUCUCCUCUGUGAAACUUUUGCUGCUUCUUUACCAUGUCUCUCAUGAGAGUUCUCGUAACACUUUCACAAUUUCUUCUGUAUAGAGGUUGCCUCGAUCUUACAUGUACUAUUUUCAGUUCUUUGUAUGUGUCCAUCUGUUCCCUCUGAAGGCAGGGAUUAUAUUUGGCUUUUCUUCUAUGAACCCCUCAGGGUCUAGCACAAUGCCAGGCUUACAGAAGGAAUUCAAAGAUAUAUUUAUUCAAUCCAGUCUAUGGUCCUCAAGUUUUGGACAAGUCCAAGCUGAGAAAUAAAGCUUUGAUUCUCCUUAGAAGAAGUCUCUUCUUUUAUUUACUUAUUUUAAAAUUUUUA